RNAcentral lists this ribosomal RNA (579 nucleotides) under Streptomyces sp. I14A-01116. RNAcentral describes it as "bacterial SSU rRNA". It matches the Rfam family "Bacterial small subunit ribosomal RNA", at positions 95 to 687 of the family's 1533-position model. Lineage: Bacteria; Bacillati; Actinomycetota; Actinomycetes; Kitasatosporales; Streptomycetaceae. The record is from RNAcentral.
GUGGCGAACGGGUGAGUAACACGUGGGCAAUCUGCCCUGCACUCUGGGACAAGCCCUGGAAACGGGGUCUAAUACCGGAUACUGAUCAUCUUGGGCAUCCUUGGUGAUCGAAAGCUCCGGCGGUGCAGGAUGAGCCCGCGGCCUAUCAGCUUGUUGGUGAGGUAAUGGCUCACCAAGGCGACGACGGGUAGCCGGCCUGAGAGGGCGACCGGCCACACUGGGACUGAGACACGGCCCAGACUCCUACGGGAGGCAGCAGUGGGGAAUAUUGCACAAUGGGCGAAAGCCUGAUGCAGCGACGCCGCGUGAGGGAUGACGGCCUUCGGGUUGUAAACCUCUUUCAGCAGGGAAGAAGCGAAAGUGACGGUACCUGCAGAAGAAGCGCCGGCUAACUACGUGCCAGCAGCCGCGGUAAUACGUAGGGCGCGAGCGUUGUCCGGAAUUAUUGGGCGUAAAGAGCUCGUAGGCGGCUUGUCGCGUCGGUUGUGAAAGCCCGGGGCUUAACCCCGGGUCUGCAGUCGAUACGGGCAGGCUAGAGUUCGGUAGGGGAGAUCGGAAUUCCUGGUGUAGCGGUGAAAU